GGGGAAGUCGCGCUGGGUGGGCUCCCUCCUCCUCCUCCUCCCGGUGCUCCCGCCCAAAGCCGGGACACCUGAAGGGGGGUGGCCGGCGGCGGGCCGUCAAGCGGCGCGGGCUCCGUCUGACCCCGCCGGAGCAGCCGCCUCGUCCCCCCGCCCUUACCUGCAGCCCCAGCGCCUGGGAGAGCUCUCGGGCCUUGGCCGCCCUCAGGCAGUUGCCGGCGUUGGUCAGGAAGACGACGGGCACCCGGAGCCGCCCGCUGCCGUCCGCCAGCCUCCGGAAGGCCUGGCGGGCGGCGGGCACCGCCUGGCUGCCCCGCACCAGCACCCCGUCCACGUCGAAGAGGAACCCGAAGGCCGGCGGCUGCAAGACUGCGUCCCAGGGGCUCCCUCUUUCCUGUGGAAUGGGACAGAAAUCUUGAUGCUGAAUUCAGCCGAGGCCCUUCUGGACCUGAGGAAAGCAAAAGGUUCGCUUCACAUCCAUGGAGAUGAAAUGACAUUUGUUUGCUUUCUGGCUAGGCUUAAGAUCUCCUGACUCCUGCGAUACGGCAGGUUUAACAUGUAUAACCUUAGGCAUCAAUUACACAAACAGUGUAAUUGUUUGUUUUUAUGCUUCCAUUGCCAUGAGCACCAAGCUUAAUUCGUUUUUGACCCACUUUAACACCCAGAGCACUUUCUGCAGAGCUAUUAAAGCACUGGCAACUCAGGGUUACACAUUCGUACAGGUGGUUAUUCUUCCUUAAGUGCCUUUGCCUUAACUGAAUUACCUACCGUUUAUUUUACAUAAUUUCCUCAACUUGCCAGGAUCGCUUUUCUCAGAGCUGUUUGCAGCUCCUCCUGCUCUGGCGAAAUUUAGGCUGGCCGCGGAGACAUUGCUGAAAGUAUUUAGUUCCCUGCAGAACUGGGCUUCAAACCUUCUUCCACUAGCACAAGAGAGCCAGUUACAGCUACUUUGAAGUAUGCCUUCCCAACUACUUACCCACUUACAAACCAGGACCUCCAACCCUCAUUUCCCUUGGCUGCCGAUGAAAAAUACAGUCAGAGAGAGAGGCAAAGACUUUCUAAAAUUAAUGACAAACAGAAGAACCUUGUCUCGAGCGUUUCUCAGCUAUCCACCAAGGCGGUUGCUCCUGGCAGAGAAAAUGUUUGACUGAUUUACUGUGAUUUUGCCUAGAGUAUUGGCUAACAUGGAUUUAUGGCCUUUUAAC
Molecule: long non-coding RNA, 1202 nt
Filed under: Aquila chrysaetos chrysaetos
Lineage: Eukaryota; Metazoa; Chordata; Aves; Accipitriformes; Accipitridae
Description: lncRNA (ENSACCG00020010689.1)
Source: RNAcentral